This 308-nucleotide unclassified non-coding RNA is filed under the name air metagenome. Its description in RNAcentral is "partial contains small subunit ribosomal RNA, internal transcribed spacer 1, and 5.8S ribosomal RNA". The stretch from base 1 to 46 matches the Rfam family "Eukaryotic small subunit ribosomal RNA", at positions 1786 to 1831 of the family's 1831-position model. The record is from RNAcentral.
AAGUCGUAACAAGGUUUCCGUAGGUGAACCUGCGGAAGGAUCAUUACCGAGUCUUUGAAGUGGGUUUGAUGCUGGCCUUCCGAGGCAUGUGCUCGCUCCGCUCUCAAUAUCCCACUCAACACCUGUGCACCCUACUGUUUUCGAAGGUCGCGGUCCUCCCGUCAAAGGGAGCAGCUCGGGAAACCGAGCCGGGGCCGCUGCUUUCGUUGACAUGUAACAAUACAAACCCUUAAAGUAACUUAGAAUGUGUAACCGGCCUACGGGCUUUUAAUAAAAUACAACUUUCAACAACGGAUCUCUUGGCUCUC